RNAcentral lists this ribosomal RNA (556 nucleotides) under Salmonella enterica subsp. enterica serovar Enteritidis. RNAcentral describes it as "partial 23S ribosomal RNA". It matches the Rfam family "Bacterial large subunit ribosomal RNA", at positions 61 to 589 of the family's 2925-position model. Lineage: Bacteria; Pseudomonadati; Pseudomonadota; Gammaproteobacteria; Enterobacterales; Enterobacteriaceae. The record is from RNAcentral.
CUAAUCUGCGAUAAGCGCCGGUAAGGUGAUAUGAACCGUUAUAACCGGCGAUACCCGAAUGGGGAAACCCAGUGUGACUCGUCACACUAUCAUUAACUGAAUCCAUAGGUUAAUGAGGCGAACCGGGGGAACUGAAACAUCUAAGUACCCCGAGGAAAAGAAAUCAACCGAGAUUCCCCCAGUAGCGGCGAGCGAACGGGGAGGAGCCCAGAGCCUGAAUCAGCAUGUGUGUUAGUGGAAGCGUCUGGAAAGGCGCGCGAUACAGGGUGACAGCCCCGUACACAAAAGCGCAUGUGCUGUGAGCUCGAUGAGUAGGGCGGGACACGUGGUAUCCUGUCUGAAUAUGGGGGGACCAUCCUCCAAGGCUAAAUACUCCUGACUGACCGAUAGUGAACCAGUACCGUGAGGGAAAGGCGAAAAGAACCCCGGCGAGGGGAGUGAAAAAGAACCUGAAACCGUGUACGUACAAGCAGUGGGAGCCCCACCACCAAAGCAUUUGCUGUACCGCGUUGACGGAGCGAAGCGACGUCAAACCGAUAAAACAGCAGUGUAAAGU